RNAcentral lists this ribosomal RNA (301 nucleotides) under uncultured bacterium. RNAcentral's name for it is "partial 16S ribosomal RNA". It matches the Rfam family "Archaeal small subunit ribosomal RNA", at positions 459 to 759 of the family's 1478-position model. The record is from RNAcentral.
CAGCAGCCGCGGUAAUACCAGCAGCCCAAGUGGUGGUCGCGAUUAUUGGGCCUAAAGCGCUCGUAGCCGGGCCGGUAAGUCCCUUGUGAAAUCGGACGGCCUAACCGUUCGGCGUGCAAGGGAUACUGUCGGUCUUGAGGCCGGGAGACGUCCGAGGUACUCCGGGGGUAGCGGUGAAAUGUUCUGAUCCUCGGGGGACCACCGGUGGCGAAGGCGUUCGACGAGAACGGGCCUAACGGUGAGGGGCGUAGGCUAGGGGAGCAAACGGGAUUAGAUACCCCAGUAGUCCCUGUCUCUUAUU